UGGUGNACCCGCGGAGGGAUCAUUGCUGGAACGCGCCCCCGGCGCCCCCAGAAACCCUUUGUGAANUUAUACCNUACUGUUGCCUNGGCGCAUGCCGGCCCCCNGGGGCCCCUCGGAGACGAGGAGCAGGCACGCCGGCGGCCAAGUUAACUCUUGUUUUUACACUGAAANUNUGNGAAAAAAAAAAAAAAAUGAAUCAAAACUUUCAACAACGGAUCUCUUGGUUCNGGCAUCGAUGAAGAACGCAGCGAAAUGCGAUAAGUAAUGUGAAUUGCANAAUUCAGNGAAUCAUCGAAUCUUUGAACGCACAUUGCNCCCNCCGGUAUUCCGGAGGGCAUGCCUGUUCGAGCGUCNUUUCAACCCUCAAGCACUGCUUGGUGUUGGGGCACUGCUUCUCUCGCGGGAAGCAGGCCCUGAAAUUCAGNGGCGAGCUCGCCAGGACCCCGAGCGCANUANUUAAACCCUCGCUCUGGAAGGCCCNGGCGGNGCCCUGCCGUUAAACCCCCAACUCUUGAAAAUUUGACCUNNGAUCAGG
Molecule: ribosomal RNA, 535 nt
Filed under: Diaporthe sp.
Lineage: Eukaryota; Fungi; Ascomycota; Sordariomycetes; Diaporthales; Diaporthaceae
Description: partial small subunit ribosomal RNA
Rfam family: 5.8S ribosomal RNA (bases 201-354)
Source: RNAcentral